UUGGGCUGAGGAAAGUAGCUGAGUACUGCCUGAGGCCCGGCAGUAAGCUGAGGGUUGCCCAGGAAACAGAAGUCUGAGAAGCUGUAACUGGCUGAAAGCUGUUGCUGAAGGGAGCCCAGUAGUGCCUGGAGGCUGCCCUGAAGCCAAGAUCAGCUACCCAUUGUGUACAUAUGCACAGUAAGAGUAAAGGAUAAGUGAACCAAAUGCACGAGGGGUACUAUACCACUGAAGUUAUUGAAGCAGCAUUGAAUUUGACUCAUUAAGUUAACCCUCAGAAUGAACAUCUCUGUGAUAUGGCUGCAUCAAAUUCCAUGAUCAUGAUGGACAAUUAACAUGUGCAAUUGGUGAAUCAUGACGGAACAUUCCUAUAGAUAAAUACAAGAUGAAAUUACCUUUGGAUAUUUUAGAAUCAUGGAGACAAUUUCCUUCUUUGUACUCCCCCAUCUUAUUCUAGCCAUUUAAAAUCUCUUCCACAACAUUUCAUAUCAAGCCAAGUUUAAAAAUAAAACAACCACAAAGAAAAAAAAAAAACCCACUUCAGCUGUAGAAAAAUGGGAUCCAAGAUUUUGAAAAAUGGACAUCUGCACAUAGGUUUCACCUAAUAAGUGGCCUGAUUUUCAAAAGACAAUGGGAAGAAAAUCAGGCCAUUUUAUUUCGAUGUGAAAUAUAAACUAAGAUGCCAAAAAGCUUACUCUCUUUUUGAAAAUCUUGACUCUAAUAUUUAUUAACAAAAAAAGGCCUACAUUUUGGGACAGUAAAGUUUGCAGCAGAACACACCCCAUCCAGACAAAAUCUUAAAAAGCAUGAAAAUAAGAAAUUAAGGUGAUAGACUGUGCAUUCCUUCCCACUUUCAUAUUGCCUGGAACAUACUCUGACACAGUCAGACAUAUAUAUUUCAGACUUUGUCUCCAACAGAUACCAAAAACAAUGCAUACCCCAGCUUUGUCCAAGUGGUACUUGAAGGCAAAACUUGAACAGUGAGUUCAUAUGCUUUUAUACCUGUUCUUUGAACAGAUCAGCCCAUCUCAAAGUUCCACAUUCCAUGCAGUUGGGAAGUUUUUCUGCUUUAAGAUGGGUGAGGCCACUGGUAAGAUUGUCCUUCAUUGUCAUACAUUAUCAUCAAAC
Chelonia mydas (Green sea turtle) is the source of this 1125-nucleotide long non-coding RNA. RefSeq lists it as uncharacterized. Lineage: Eukaryota; Metazoa; Chordata; Testudines; Cheloniidae. The record is from RefSeq and is a predicted model, not a curated record. The transcript has 4 exons.